AAAGAAGAAGAAAAAAAC
Molecule: small RNA, 18 nt
Filed under: Arabidopsis thaliana (thale cress)
Lineage: Eukaryota; Viridiplantae; Streptophyta; Magnoliopsida; Brassicales; Brassicaceae
Description: ATSL062040
Source: RNAcentral